GGACAACGUGCCCUAAAGUGGGGGAUAAUCAGGGGAAACUCUGGAUAAUACCCCAUAGAUCAUGAGAUCUGGAAUGACUUAUGGUUCAAAGUUCCGGCGCUUUAGGAUCGGUCUGCGGCCUAUCAGGUAGUAGUGGGUGUAAUGUACCCCCUAGCCUAUUACGGGUAUGGGCCUUGAGAGAGGGAGCCCAGAGUUGGAUUCUGAGACACGAAUCCAGGCCCUACGGGGCGCAGCAGUCGCGAAAACUUCACAAUGGGCGGAAGCCCGAUGAGGGAAUUCCUAGUGCUAGCACUUUUGUGUUAGCUUUUCUUUAGCGUAGAUAACUAGAGGAAUAAGGGCUGGGUAAGACGGGUGCCAGCCGCCGCGGUAAUACCCGCAGCCCGAGUGGUGGUCGAUUUUAUUGAGUCUAAAACGUUCGUAGCCGGUCUGAUAGAUCCUUGGGUAAAUCGGGGGGCUUAACCUUCCGAAUUCCGAGGAGACCGUCAGGCUUGGGAUCGGGAGAGGUGAGAGGUACUUCAGGGGUAGGGGUAAAAUCCUGUAAUCCUUGGAGGGCCACCGGUGGCGAAGGCGUCUUACUAGAACGAAUCCGACGGUGAGGGACGAAGCCCUAGGUCGCAAACGGGAUUAGAUACCCCGGUAGUCUAGGGUGUAAACGCUGCAGACUUGGUGUUGGAGGCCCUUCGGGGGCAUUCAGUGCCGGAGAGAAGUUGUUAAGUCUGCUACUUGGGGAGUACGUCCGCAAGGAUGAAACUUAA
RNAcentral lists this ribosomal RNA (755 nucleotides) under uncultured archaeon. RNAcentral describes it as "bacterial SSU rRNA". It matches the Rfam family "Archaeal small subunit ribosomal RNA", at positions 102 to 859 of the family's 1478-position model. The record is from RNAcentral.